UCCCUGGUGGCUCAGAGGUUAAAGCAUCUGCCUCCAUUGCAGGAGACCUGGGUUCGAUCCCUGGGUUGGGAA
Ovis aries (sheep) is the source of this 72-nucleotide transfer RNA. It matches the Rfam family "tRNA". Rfam says of the family: Transfer RNA (tRNA) molecules are approximately 80 nucleotides in length. Their secondary structure includes four short double-helical elements and three loops (D, anti-codon, and T loops). The record is from Rfam. Lineage: Eukaryota; Metazoa; Chordata; Mammalia; Artiodactyla; Bovidae.